CUACGGGCGGCUGCAGUGGGGAAUAUUGGACAAUGGGGGAAACCCUGAUCCAGCAAUGCUGCGUGUGUGAAGAAGGCCUGCGGGUUGUAAAGCACUUUCGGUUGGGAGGACUGCUUCUAGCACUAAUAUUGUUGGAAGUUGACGUUACCUUCAGAAGAAGCACCGGCUAACUCCGUGCCAGCAGCCGCGGUAAUACGGAGGGUGCAAGCGUGAAUCGGAAUUACUGGGCGUAAAGCGCGCGUAGGCGGCUAGAUCAGUCGGGUGUGAAAGCCCCGGGCUUAACCUGGGAACUGCAUCCGAUACUGUCUAGCUUGAGUACAGGAGAGGAGAGUGGAAUUCCACAUGUAGCGGUGAAAUGCGUAGAUAUGUGGAGGAACACCAAUGGCGAAGGCAGCUCUCUGGCCUGAUACUGACGCUGAGGUGCGAAAGCGUGGGGAGCAAACAGGAUUAGAUACCCCAGUAGUC
This 465-nucleotide ribosomal RNA is filed under the name uncultured bacterium. RNAcentral describes it as "partial 16S ribosomal RNA". It matches the Rfam family "Bacterial small subunit ribosomal RNA", at positions 339 to 795 of the family's 1533-position model. The record is from RNAcentral.